Molecule: ribosomal RNA, 717 nt
Filed under: uncultured Lachnospiraceae bacterium
Lineage: Bacteria; Bacillati; Bacillota; Clostridia; Lachnospirales; Lachnospiraceae
Description: bacterial SSU rRNA
Rfam family: Bacterial small subunit ribosomal RNA
Source: RNAcentral
GACGAACGCUGGCGGCGUGCUUAACACAUGCAAGUCGAACGAGAAUCUACGGAUCGAGGAUUCGUCCAAGUGAAGUAGAGGACAGUGGCGGACGGGUGAGUAACGCGUGAGGAACCUGCCUUUCAGAGGGGGACAACAGUUGGAAACGACUGCUAAUACCGCAUGACACAUUGGGGUCGCAUGGCCCUGAUGUCAAAGAUUUAUCGCUGAAAGAUGGCCUCGCGUCUGAUUAGCUAGUUGGUGAGGUAACGGCCCACCAAGGCGACGAUCAGUAGCCGGACUGAGAGGUUGACCGGCCACAUUGGGACUGAGAUACGGCCCAGACUCCUACGGGAGGCAGCAGUGGGGAAUAUUGGGCAAUGGGCGCAAGCCUGACCCAGCAACGCCGCGUGAAGGAAGAAGGCUUUCGGGUUGUAAACUUCUUUUGUCAGGGACGAGUAGAAGACGGUACCCGACGAAUAAGCCACGGCUAACUACGUGCCAGCAGCCGCGGUAAUACGUAGGUGGCAAGCGUUGUCCGGAUUUACUGGGUGUAAAGGGCGUGUAGCCGGGAAGGCAAGUCAGAUGUGAAAUCCACGGGCUCAACUCGUGAACUGCAUUUGAAACUGUUUUUCUUGAGUAUCGGAGAGGCAAUCGGAAUUCCUAGUGUAGCGGUGAAAUGCGUAGAUAUUAGGAGGAACACCAGUGGCGAAGGCGGAUUGCUGGACGACAACUGAC